GUAUUAUUGAGGAGUCCCACAAUAGGACAAAACGGCCGUCCAAUGU
This 46-nucleotide non-coding RNA is filed under the name Schistosoma bovis. The record is from RNAcentral. Lineage: Eukaryota; Metazoa; Platyhelminthes; Trematoda; Strigeidida; Schistosomatidae. RNAcentral also lists the same sequence under 1 other name.